GAUGAACGCUGGCGACGUGCCUAAUGCAUGCAAGUCGCACGCACAGCCCUUCGGGGCUGUGAGUGGCGGACGGCUGAGGAACACGUGGGUAUCUGCCCUCCAGUGGGGGACAACAUGCCGAAAGGCGUGCUAAUCCCGCAUACGUUCCCUCUUUACCGAGGGAAGAAAGACCUUACGGCGCUGGAAGAGGAGCCUGCGGCCC
Molecule: ribosomal RNA, 202 nt
Filed under: uncultured bacterium
Lineage: Bacteria
Description: partial 16S ribosomal RNA
Rfam family: Bacterial small subunit ribosomal RNA
Source: RNAcentral